Long non-coding RNA from Corythoichthys intestinalis (scribbled pipefish), 193 nucleotides. RefSeq lists it as uncharacterized. The transcript is spliced from 3 exons. The record is from RefSeq and is a predicted model, not a curated record. NCBI's taxonomy places the organism in Eukaryota, Metazoa, Chordata, Actinopteri, Syngnathiformes, Syngnathidae.
AGGUAUCCUGAGAACUUACUACAGCUAUCACAAUCCUGUCUAUUGUGUUUUAGGCAACGAAAAACUUGGAGAGCAAGUGCAAUUAGUGUGCCUUUCACACCAGGGUGGAAACUAGCAUGGCAUGUCUUCAUUCAUUUAUCAUCACUGUGCCUGAAGAUCUUAAAGAGACGGCCAGGCACCUUCUCUAUCCUGA